This is a long non-coding RNA of Melanotaenia boesemani (Boeseman's rainbowfish), 1508 nucleotides long. RefSeq lists it as uncharacterized. NCBI's taxonomy places the organism in Eukaryota, Metazoa, Chordata, Actinopteri, Atheriniformes, Melanotaeniidae. The transcript is spliced from 5 exons. The record is from RefSeq and is a predicted model, not a curated record.
AGUGUGUGUGUGUGUGAGGAAAGAUAUGGUGGAAACGGAAGGAGUUUGGUGGAAAAGGCAGGCAGUUUAUGCUGCGCUGUGAUUGGCUGAGAAGCAGGUGCAGGUCGUCUCUAGUUCCCGCCUGACAUGGAUGGAAGAAAUGAGACGCAGUGGUUUCAGAAAUCUUUCAUCAUGACAUGGUUGUGUUGGUCUCUUGAGCAGCAGAGGACGGUUCAUCCGUCCCUAAUAAAACUCAGACCGGGUCCAGCAUCAGAUGAGAGAACUCUUCAGACCUAAAGCCUCAGCAGUCCAGGCAUGGACUCAAGACCUGGACCGGAGGGUCGCCACGGUCUUUAAGACACAAGACUCACAAACACUUUGGCAGCUGGACGUCCCGACCGAGGAAAAGGCUAAAAUCAGGAUCAUGAUACUGGAAACAAGGACGUCGUCCUUCUUCCAGGACAUCCAGCUGUUCUGUCAUCAAACGUGGCACAAAGCAGAAGCUGCUGAACGAGGGCAUGAACUGAACGGAUCUGAAUUCCAGAAAUCUGGGACCAACGGAGUUCCUGAACCAAUAAGAGACGCCUUUGGAGGGAAGCUGUCAGCUGAUGUCAGCCUAGAGUUUCUGACGGCAUGUGGCAACAGACUGAUUUCAGCCAAACUGCAGCUGGACAGCAGCUGGAUGCAGAUCUGAUACACAAAGUCUAGAAAUGGAAAGUUCUGUCCAUCAGACCAACACAGCGGAUUCUGGGAUGUUCUGCUCUCUUGGUGAAACAAGCUAAACAUUAUUCAGAGAUGGACUGAAAACACUUGGUGUGCUGGACUAAAUCCAAGCUCAGCUCUUCUGUGCUGGUCUCCUGCAGCCUUUCAGCUGAUGUGGCCGACAGUCUUUUCAUUAUCCGCCAUCUCCAGCUGGCAGCAACAGAAGCUGCUGAGGAAGUUCUUCCUUUCUGGAGACACACGCAGAAAUGAGGAAGGAACAGAAACUGGGAACGAUCCUCGCCUUUUCCACAGGAGCCAACACUCCUUCACCGACUGGGUUCUCUCCUCCACAAAGAGGAGGAUUCAGGAAGCUGCAAAGCUGCCGCUGCAAACAGCUGCACUAACUGCUUGAAGCUACGCUGCAGACCUCAUACGGAGACCUUCAGGAAAACAGGGGCUCUGCGGUGGGCGGGACCCUUGGUUUUAGCCCAGCGUAAUAUGUGUACAGGUCUGGAUCAAAGUAUUCUGUGUUAAGGUCAAGUUCAUGUUCAGUUAAUGACACAAAGCAACGUGAAACUUUUCUUCUUUUCUCUUGUUUUUAUGUGAUUUUGUACAAUAAAUACAAACCUGCUGCAUAUUUGUCAAACUGAAGUUAAUAGAUGUGAAGAACGCUUCACAUUUUCAGCUGCUUUCUGCAAGUAAUGUUGAAAUCGAACUUCACUGCAGCUUUUUAGUCAGACACUAUUCCACUUUUAAAUUUAUCUACAGCUCACUAUUUUCCUCUUGAUUUUAUCGCCUGCUUUUCAAACGGAUCAACCAACAAACAC